UACAGAGGUCUCAAGCGUUGUUCGGAUUCAUUGGGCGUAAAGGGCGCGUAGGCGGCGGGGUCAGUCGGGUGUGAAAUCUUGGGGCUUAACCCCGAAACGGCACUCGAAACUGCCCGGCUGGAGGGCCGGAGAGGAGAUCGGAAUUCACGGUGUAGCAGUGAAAUGCGUAGAGAUCGUGAGGAAGACCUGUGGCGAAGGCGGAUCUCUGGACGGCUAACUGACGCUGAGGCGCGAAGGCCAGGGGAGCAAACGGG
This 254-nucleotide ribosomal RNA is filed under the name uncultured bacterium. RNAcentral's name for it is "partial 16S ribosomal RNA". It matches the Rfam family "Bacterial small subunit ribosomal RNA", at positions 524 to 776 of the family's 1533-position model. The record is from RNAcentral.